UGGUGGAUUGAUUUGUCUGGUUUAUUCCGUUAACGAACGAGACCUCAGCCUACUAAAUAGUUGGAGGAAUUCUUUGAAUUCCUUUGAACUUCUUAGAGGGACUUUUGGUGCUUAGCCAAAGGAAGUUUGAGGCAAUAACA
RNAcentral lists this ribosomal RNA (140 nucleotides) under uncultured eukaryote. Its description in RNAcentral is "partial 18S ribosomal RNA". It matches the Rfam family "Eukaryotic small subunit ribosomal RNA", at positions 1299 to 1458 of the family's 1831-position model. The record is from RNAcentral.